This is a non-coding RNA of Vicia faba (fava bean), 210 nucleotides long. The record is from the annotation of a GenBank genome assembly. Lineage: Eukaryota; Viridiplantae; Streptophyta; Magnoliopsida; Fabales; Fabaceae.
AUGUUAGGCCGACCCAUGGUGAUGGAAAGAAAAAUAAAAAUAAAAUUAAUACUACCUGAUAUAACACCGAACAGGGAUAAGCGGGGAUGCGAAUCAGAGGGAGGCGGAUCUGGUGGGUAUGUGCGACCGGGUGAGCUCACGGCUGGGCUGAGCACGGCGAGCUGGGUCGUCGUUGGAGGGAGCUUCGCGGUGGAGGGAUUUGAGCAGUAG